CAAACCCUCUCCCUCUUCUGUCUUCUUCUCCGGCGGACGGCCGCCGCCCCGCCCCGCCCUCUCGACUGCACUCUCCGGCCGACGGCGCCACCGCCGCUGCGCCACUUUCCUCUCUCUUCCUCACUCUUCUCUUCUCCCUUGCUCAGAACGAACAACCAAGAUCCGCCCAGCCAGAGCUCGGAGCCGAUGUCGAGGCGAUUUGGAGAGGGCGAGAAGCGACGCGACGGCACCGUCGAUUUGCGCCACCACGUUUCGAUUUUGAGGACUGAUCUUGGUGAUGGUGGCUAGGGUUUGCAGCGCCUCGAACAAAUCCGACCCAACUUCUUGUGAUUUGAAGGCGCCGCCGCCCACCUCCAUUAUCUUCCCUUAAUCUCCCUCUCUGUCAGCUACGACCGCCGGCUUCGUCGUGUGAUACUUGGUGAAAUUUGCAGGUACAGUGUUGAGCCAAAA
Molecule: long non-coding RNA, 450 nt
Organism: Salvia miltiorrhiza (redroot sage)
Lineage: Eukaryota; Viridiplantae; Streptophyta; Magnoliopsida; Lamiales; Lamiaceae
Exons: 2
Source: RefSeq, a predicted model, not a curated record